RNAcentral lists this ribosomal RNA (251 nucleotides) under uncultured prokaryote. RNAcentral describes it as "partial 16S rRNA". It matches the Rfam family "Bacterial small subunit ribosomal RNA", at positions 525 to 775 of the family's 1533-position model. The record is from RNAcentral.
ACGUAGGGUGCGAGCGUUAAUCGGAAUUACUGGGCGUAAAGGGUGCGCAGGCGGUUGUGCAAGACAGGCGUGAAAUCCCCGGGCUUAACCUGGGAAUGGCGCUUGUGACUGCACGGCUAGAGUGUGUCAGAGGGGGGUAGAAUUCCACGUGUAGCAGUGAAAUGCGUAGAUAUGUGGAGGAAUACCGAUGGCGAAGGCAGCCCCCUGGGAUAACACUGACGCUCAUGCACGAAAGCGUGGGGAGCAAACAG